RNAcentral lists this ribosomal RNA (254 nucleotides) under uncultured bacterium. RNAcentral's name for it is "partial 16S ribosomal RNA". It matches the Rfam family "Bacterial small subunit ribosomal RNA", at positions 524 to 776 of the family's 1533-position model. The record is from RNAcentral.
UACGGGGGGAGCAAGCGUUGUUCGGAUUUACUGGGCGUAAAGGGCGCGUAGGCGGCCACUGCAAGUCGGUUGUGAAAUCUCCGGGCUUAACCCGGAAAGGUCAAUCGAUACUGCAGGGCUAGAGUGCAGAAGGGGCAACUGGAAUUCUCGGUGUAGCGGUGAAAUGCGCAGAUAUCAGGAGGAACACCGGUGGCGAAGGCGGGUCUCUGGGCAACAACUGACGCUGAGGAGCGAAAGCGUGGGGAGCGAACAGG